GGCUGAGCGGGGUGCGUGCGGCCGGUCGGCACACAGCUGCACAGCUGAGCUGGGGUGGAAAUCAGGCAAACAGUUGUGUGUGAGUGGUACGGCGCAGAAAUUGAAGCCUUGGUUUAAAAGGGUUGUGCAAAUGCAGUGAAGAAGAGGCUGGUGUGAAAACGAAAGGUGUUCUGUGAGGUCAAAGCUGAGCUGAAAGGCCACGGCAGCUGUCUUCACCAGGCUAGCACUUCAGCUUUCUGGCAUCAAGGACCUAGGAUACAAUCCUGCAGGCUUGAGCUAUCUGGAAGAUGAAGCCCUGGUUGCAGUUGUUCUUUACCUGUACACUCUUGAUCUGGCACACAGAAGCAGAGUUCUUCACCUCCAUAGGUCAAAUGACAGACCUGAUUUAUGCAGAGAAGGACUUGGUACAGUCUUUAAAGGAAUACAUUCGAGCAGAAGAGAUCAAGCUCUCUCAGAUUAAAAGCUGGGCUGAAAAAAUGGAUGUACUGACUAGCAAAUCAAGCUCUGAUCCAGAAGGAUAUCUGGCACAUCCUGUAAAUGCAUAUAAACUGGUGAAGCGUUUAAAUACUGACUGGCUGGAAUUGGAAAACCUGGUUCUUCAGGAUACAACAAAUGGCUUUAUUGCAAAUCUUACAAUUCAGCGUCAGUUUUUUCCAACUGAAGAAGAUGAGACUGGAGCUGCGAAAGCUCUGAUGCGCCUGCAGGACACGUACAAACUGGAUCCUGAAACACUCUCUCGAGGCAAUUUACCAGGAACAAAGUAUAGAUCCUCUUUGACAGUAGGUGAUUGCUUUGGUAUGGGGAAGACUGCUUACAAUGACGGAGAUUACUACCACACAGUGCUCUGGAUGGAACAAGCCUUAAAACAACACGAUGAGGGGGAAGAUACGACAGUCAGCAAAGUGGAGAUCCUAGAUUAUCUCAGCUAUGCGGUUUUCCAGUUUGGGGAUUUACAUAGAGCCAUGGAGCUUACCAGACGUCUGAUAUCCCUUGACAGUACUCACGAGAGAGCAGGCAGUAAUCUGCGGUACUUUGAAAAGUUGCUGGAGAAGGAGAGAGAGAAGGAGCAAGAGAAGUCAAACAAGACCAUGACAACGACUGAACCAGUGGUGCAAAGUGGUGCCUAUGAGAGGCCACUUGACUAUUUACCAGAGCGUGAUAUCUAUGAGGCCCUCUGCAGAGGUGAAGGGGUGAAAAUGACACCUCGAAGACAGAAAAGGCUGUUUUGUAGGUACCAUGAUGGAAACAGAAACCCUCAUCUGCUCAUAGCUCCCUUUAAGGAAGAAGAUGAAUGGGAUAGCCCUCAUAUUGUACGAUACUAUGACGUCAUGUCUGAUGAAGAAAUUGAAAAAAUCAAACAACUAGCGAAGCCAAAGCUGGCACGAGCCACAGUACGUGAUCCCAAAACCGGUGUCCUUACAGUGGCUAGCUACAGGGUAUCAAAAAGCUCAUGGUUGGAGGAAGAUGAUGAUCCUGUUGUGGCCAAGGUCAAUCAACGAAUGCAACAGAUCACAGGGUUAACAGUGAAAACAGCUGAACUACUGCAGGUUGCCAACUAUGGAAUGGGAGGGCAGUAUGAGCCGCACUUCGAUUUUUCUAGGCGACCCUUUGACAGCACACUCAAAUCGGAAGGAAAUAGGCUAGCGACGUUUCUUAACUAUGUAAGUACCUCUUUGUCUGCUGUCUGUGAGCUUGAAGUUUGCAGUUAUUCUCAUUUAAUUUUAUAGAAAGAUGAGCCAGAUGCUUUCAAGCGGUUAGGGACUGGAAAUCGUGUGGCCACUUUUUUAAACUAUGUACCAAGCAGGAGGACACCAGAGUGAUGAGUGAUGUAGAAGCUGGAGGAGCUACAGUUUUCCCAGAUUUUGGGGCAGCAAUAUGGCCCAAGAAGGGGACAGCAGUGUUUUGGUACAAUCUUUUCAGAAGUGGUGAGGGUGAUUAUAGAACGAGGCAUGCAGCUUGUCCAGUACUAGUAGGGUGUAAAUGGGUUUCAAACAAAUGGUUUCAUGAAAGAGGAAAUGAAUUCUUAAGACCAUGUGGGAGAACAGAGGUCGACUGAAACCCAACCUGCUACAGGCCUUUGCUUCUCUGUCUCCUUUUCUACUGUUGGUUGUUCCAGUUCAUUUCUAAGAAAUGAUCCGUCUUUUUCUCCAAGAGUCCUGGCACUUUACCAAAAAGAACAACAAAAUGUGUAACACCUGUGAAAGCAAGUAAAUGGCAUCGUACACGUGUGUUUUGGUUGCUGUUAUUUCCGUGUUCAUGUUCCCCCGCCUUCCACCCUCCCAAUGUUCUCUGUACCAGUGGUGCGAACAGCGCUGUGGGUGAUUCGAUAUGUUUGGUGCCUGGUCUUGUGCCUUUUGUACCUCAGACGAUUUAGAUGUUAAAUAUUUCUUUGAACCAAAGCUUUUUUUUAAAGUUUUGUGUACAUGUUGAUUUUAUUGUAUUUCUAGGGAUCACAUGUUUUGAAACAAAAAUAAAUGUUCUUUCCAUAAA
Molecule: RNA transcript, 2490 nt
Organism: Columba livia (rock pigeon)
Lineage: Eukaryota; Metazoa; Chordata; Aves; Columbiformes; Columbidae
Gene: P4HA2
Gene name: prolyl 4-hydroxylase subunit alpha 2
Exons: 18
Source: RefSeq, a predicted model, not a curated record